This is a non-coding RNA of Arachis ipaensis, 391 nucleotides long. NCBI's taxonomy places the organism in Eukaryota, Viridiplantae, Streptophyta, Magnoliopsida, Fabales, Fabaceae. The record is from RefSeq and is a predicted model, not a curated record.
CACUUAUAUGUACCCUUUCAUUUAUUGGUGGAGGUGUACGCGCAAAUAAAGGAUAUCAAUUGAAUAAGAAUUGUUUUCAUUGCACUCAUUAUUAGAAAGAUGGUUAAGUUAUCUUUGGGAAAACAUUUCUUCCUUCUCAUUUUGGUUUCAGUUGUAGCUAUGAGAAGUCAAGUUACUGAAGGCAAAUGGUGUAGAACAGAAUUUUGGUUGCCAUCUAUUUGCAAUGAAAAGGGCACAUCUGACCAUGAUAAAUGUCUUGAAGAAUGCGAUCAGAAAUAUGGUUUCAUGAGCAUUUUAGGACGUUGCAAUUAUAAUUCCCUUUGUUCGUGUGUGUACAAAUGUGUCAACGAUGAUCAUUAAUUAAUUAUAAUUAAUGGAAUGUAAUAUAUAU